RNAcentral lists this ribosomal RNA (479 nucleotides) under uncultured bacterium. RNAcentral describes it as "partial 16S ribosomal RNA". It matches the Rfam family "Bacterial small subunit ribosomal RNA", at positions 28 to 507 of the family's 1533-position model. The record is from RNAcentral.
GAUGAACGCUAGCGGUAGGCCUAACACAUGCAAGCCGAGCGGUAUUUGAUCUUCGGAACAGAGAGAGCGGCGCACAGGUGCGGAACACGUGUGCAACCUGCCUUUAUCUGUGGGAUAGCCUUUCGAAAGGAAGAUUAAUACCCCAUAAUAUAUUGAGGAGCAUCAUUUGAUAUUGAAAACUCCGGUGGAUAGAGAUGAGCACGCGUAAGAUUAGAUAGUUGGUGAGGUAACGGCUCACCAAGUCAAUGAUCUUUAGGGGGGCUGAGAGGGUGAUCCCCCAGACUGGUACUGCGACACGGACCAGAAUCCUACGGGAGGCAGCAGUGAGGAAUAUUGUACGAUGGGGUAGCGCCUGAUCCAGCCAUCCCGCGUGAAGGACGCCUGCCCUAUGAGUUGUAAUCUUCUUUUGUAUAGGGAUAAACCUACUCUCGUGAGAGUAGCUGAAGGUACUAUACGAAUAAGCACCGGCUAACUCCGUG